RNAcentral lists this long non-coding RNA (878 nucleotides) under Triticum aestivum (bread wheat). Its description in RNAcentral is "long non-coding RNA (TAES_LNC028588)". Lineage: Eukaryota; Viridiplantae; Streptophyta; Magnoliopsida; Poales; Poaceae. The record is from RNAcentral.
AUAUAUUACGAUUUCCAGAUAACACAAUUAUAGCAUAAACAAUAGACAAUUAUCAUGAACAAGGAAAUAUAAUAAUAACCAUUUUAUCAUUGCCUCUAGAGCAUAUUUCCAACAUGAUCUUACCUGCUCAUGUCAAAAGGAAAGCGACAACCAUCAUAGGCAAAGAUGCAGGAUUUGGACUUUAACUCAAGUUAACUGCGCUAUAUAAGUCUACUUGGCAAAAUAUUUGUUUUUCUUGACCAUAUAAAAAGCUCAUUUCCCAUACAAAAUCGUGAACUAAAACAAGAUAUUUCAGUUCAAACUUCUAAUUAAGAUUGACCACCAAUGGCAGGCUACUGACAUGAAAAAGAUUGAGGACUUCAAUCCACAAUUAGAAGACAACGUGUGAGUAAGCAGGUAUCAUCCUUGACAACAAGCAAACAUCACAUGUAAGAUCCGAUGUAACUCUUGGAUUACCUAUAAAACAAAACAAUUUGUAACAUCUGAUCAUGUCAUGUGUUCUCUCUCAGGAAAAGGAAGACUAAUUAUCCACUGAGUUUCAAUACCGAAAGAAAAUAUGAUGUUCCAAAAAAGGAAGAUUCAUUUAUUUCCAAAGAAAGUUCAGAACCCGAGUUUCAUAGUGCAAUCAUAAGACAUAUUCAAAUUGAACUCAGCAACCGACAUGAAAAAUCAAUAGCAUUUUAAAUCUUAGACUCUUAAUACAUACCCAAUUAAGGUGUGGAAAAAAAUCGUUAUUAUAUUGAUUUGUCCAAACAAAUGAGGAAAACAUUCAAGAGCCCUGCAUGUAAAGAGGAAAAACCGUUAUUAUAUUGAUUAAACAAGAAAAGUAGGCCAUUUCUGGGAUAUAUAUAUAUAUAUAUAGAGAGAGAGAGAGAGAG